GGAUGAAUAUUGGUCAAUGGGCGGAAGCCUGAACCAGCCAAGUAGCGUGAAGGACGACUGCCCUAUGGGUUGUAAACUUCUUUUAUGCGGGGAUAAAGUUCGCCACGUGUGGCGUUUUGCAUGUACCUUAUGAAUAAGGACCGGCUAAUUCCGUGCCAGCAGCCGCGGUAAUACGGAAGGUCCGGGCGUUAUCCGGAUUUAUUGGGUUUAAAGGGAGCGUAGGCCGGAGAUUAAGCGUGUUGUGAAAUGUAGUGGCUCAACCUCUGCACUGCAGCGCGAACUGGUCUUCUUGAGUACGCACAACGUGGGCGGAAUUCGUGGUGUAGCGGUGAAAUGCUUAGAUAUCACGAAGAACUCCGAUUGCGAAGGCAGCUCACGGGAGCGCAACUGACGCUGAAGCUCGAAAGUGCGGGUAUCGAACAGGAUUAGAUACCCUGGUAGU
RNAcentral lists this ribosomal RNA (442 nucleotides) under uncultured Prevotella sp. RNAcentral's name for it is "bacterial SSU rRNA". It matches the Rfam family "Bacterial small subunit ribosomal RNA", at positions 355 to 794 of the family's 1533-position model. The record is from RNAcentral. Lineage: Bacteria; Pseudomonadati; Bacteroidota; Bacteroidia; Bacteroidales; Prevotellaceae.